GCAGGGGUAGCCAAGUGGCCAACGGCGUCGGACUCAAGAUCCGAUCUCACAGGAGUACGCGGGUUCAAAUCCCUCCCCCUGCA
This 83-nucleotide transfer RNA is filed under the name archaeon BMS3Bbin16. RNAcentral's name for it is "tRNA-Leu". It matches the Rfam family "tRNA". Rfam says of the family: Transfer RNA (tRNA) molecules are approximately 80 nucleotides in length. Their secondary structure includes four short double-helical elements and three loops (D, anti-codon, and T loops). The record is from RNAcentral. RNAcentral also lists the same sequence under 2 other names.